UACGUAGGGUGCGAGCGUUAAUCGGAAUUACUGGGCGUAAAGCGUGUGCAGGCGGCUUUGCAAGACAGAUGUGAAAUCCCCGGGCUCAACCUGGGAACUGCAUUUGUGACUGCAAGGCUAGAGUACGGCAGAGGGGGAUGGAAUUCCGCGUGUAGCAGUGAAAUGCGUAGAUAUGCGGAGGAACACCAAUGGCGAAGGCAAUCCCCUGGGCCUGUACUGACGCUCAUGCACGAAAGCGUGGGGAGCAAACAGG
This 253-nucleotide ribosomal RNA is filed under the name uncultured bacterium. RNAcentral's name for it is "partial 16S ribosomal RNA". It matches the Rfam family "Bacterial small subunit ribosomal RNA", at positions 524 to 776 of the family's 1533-position model. The record is from RNAcentral.